This 645-nucleotide ribosomal RNA is filed under the name uncultured Stenotrophomonas sp. RNAcentral's name for it is "bacterial SSU rRNA". It matches the Rfam family "Bacterial small subunit ribosomal RNA", at positions 338 to 974 of the family's 1533-position model. The record is from RNAcentral. Lineage: Bacteria; Pseudomonadati; Pseudomonadota; Gammaproteobacteria; Lysobacterales; Lysobacteraceae.
CCUACGGGAGGCAGCAGUGGGGAAUAUUGGACAGUGGGCGCAAGCCUGAUCCAGCCAUACCGCGUGGGUGAAGAAGGCCUUCGGGUUGUAAAGCCCUUUUGUUGGGAAAGAAAUCCAGCCGGCUAAUACCUGGUUGGGAUGACGGUACCCAAAGAAUGAGCACCGGCUAACUUCGUGCCAGCAGCCGCGGUAAUACGAAGGGUGCAAGCGUUACUCGGAAUUACUGGGCGUAAAGCGUGCGUAGGUGGUUAUUUAAGUCCGUUGUGAAAGCCCUGGGCUCAACCUGGGAACUGCAGUGGAUACUGGAUGACUAGAAUGUGGUAGAGGGUAGCGGAAUUCCUGGUGUAGCAGUGAAAUGCGUAGAGAUCAGGAGGAACAUCCAUGGCGAAGGCAGCUACCUGGACCAACAUUGACACUGAGGCACGAAAGCGUGGGGAGCAAACAGGAUUAGAUACCCCGGUAGUCCACGCCCUAAACGAUGCGAACUGGAUGUUGGGUGCAAUUUGGCACGCAGUAUCGAAGCUAACGCGUUAAGUUCGCCGCCUGGGGAGUACGGUCGCAAGACUGAAACUCAAAGGAAUUGACGGGGGCCCGCACAAGCGGUGGAGUAUGUGGUUUAAUUCGAUGCAACGCGAAGAACCUUAC